Long non-coding RNA from Tympanuchus pallidicinctus (lesser prairie-chicken), 2876 nucleotides. RefSeq lists it as uncharacterized. The record is from RefSeq and is a predicted model, not a curated record. The transcript is spliced from 3 exons. Lineage: Eukaryota; Metazoa; Chordata; Aves; Galliformes; Phasianidae.
CUGUCCUGCAUAAACAAACAAGCAAAUACCUGAAGUUUAGAACACCAAACUGAAUGAAAACUCUAACUCAGGAGGGAGGCACAAUUUAAAACUGGAAAAGUUUUGUUUGGAUUUCAUCCUACUCUCUAUAUAAAGAUACAUUUUAUAUUUUGAAUCUCUCUCUAUGAAAAUAUAUCAAUUUUGCUUGGCUUUUAAGAUUUUGCUAGAAAACAAAAAUUGGUACCUGGAAUUAAUCAAAGAUAGUUGCACAGCAGGACAGUUUGAAAUACUACAAAUUAAACUAACAGUAGGGCUUUGCUAUUUUAAUUUCCCUUCCUGCGGUGCAUUUAAUUUAAAUGGAUGACAAAACAAUUUUCUAUUGUUUUAUUUAGAGCACUCAUUCUUGUGUUCAUAUUUUAAGUGUCAUUAUAUCUGUUUGAAUAUAAAGGGAUGAGACAGCCAUAGAUUCAGUGAAGUAUAUCAGGAGAGGAUGAUCAGAGCUACAAGACUGACCCAUAAGGAACUGUGGAAUACAACACUGUCUUUCCAGCAAAGCUCCAAUUUUUUAGGCUUUCUCUUAAUUUGAAUGCACUGUCCACCUGGUACUGAGAUUUAAAGAUAAACAGAGGAGAGGAGUAUAUAAAUAAUUUGGAAAAAAAAUAAUUAAAAAUGUUUGUUUUCUUUGUCUCCACAGAAUGCAAAGUUCUCACAUUAAAAUAAUGUAUAAUUUCAAGUUAAUAAUUCUGAAACCAAUAAUUCUUGGUCUGUGGAUCAGACUGAAAUGUGUAGCUACAAGUAUGCAAUACGCACAGGACUCUGUUCCUGUAAAGCUGUCAAGCCCACAGGUAACUGAAAAUGGAGGUUUGACACGUGGCCAAAUGUUUAAACUUAACCACUGGGGCGUUCUUCUACCUGGCGGUGGAUUGCUGAAUUGGUACCACAGUAAUCCUCAAGGACCUCAUUAUCUGUGGCAAAGCCGUGGCCUGGGUUAGCUUCAUGGAUGUGCUGCGGGGGGAGGAGGACAGGCAUUUUCCUUCACAGCACUGUCUGUCUGUAGCAAUCCUUCCUCACAUUUUCCUGUUUUCCUCAGAAGAAUUUGCAAGGUCUGCAGCCCCAGCAGGAGCAGGGAAUAACCGAGGGUUUUGGAAUACGGGGAUCAGUUUGAAACAGGGCAGGGGAGUGAGGUAACAAUAUAAACCAGUAUCUGAAAAACAAGCUGUUAGAAUUUCAGCUAAGAACUCAAUUUUGCAGUUCAUCUAUUACAGAAUUAUCAUUUCAGGCACUUGGCAGAUUCACAAAAGUACUUUAGUGCCCCCUUCAUUCAUGCUCAACGUUUUUUUUCUUUUCAUGAAAAGACAUCUUUAUUUUAAAGUGAAGUCAAACUUCCAAAGGAAGAGAAGUUUUUGUUAAGCUGUGCAACUUUAGAAUCUUUACUACAAUUAAAUUUAUAUCUUUUGGUAAUACGUGGAAACUGAAUUAUAUGUACAAAUGCUAAUCUCUGAGGUUAUGCCAUCUCUUUCACCUAUCUGUAGCUUGCUAAAACAUUUGUGUUCUACUUGGUUGUUUUAAUCUGUUGCCCACACUCAAUUAUCUCCCCUAACACUGAUCACAGUGAUAAAAUGCACUUUAAAAUUCUGCUGAGCAAUGCUGCCAGCUACAGAUUUGUUCUGGCUUUGGGUAUACAUCUCAGUCAUAAGGAAGAACAGCUAUGUGAGUUUUCUGAAUGGUUCUAAGGAAUGUACAGCUAUACAGCUAUGUAGGAAUUUUUAGUUUCUUCCACUUAAUAUCAUUUAUGUACCACGUGAAUUUUGUAAUUUGAUUUUAUAGUACAGUUUGUAUUACUUGUUUUCAUAAGAAGGAAAAUGUAAUAUGUAAUAUGACAGUGCUUGAGCAAGAAGAAUCGGGAAGAAUUAGCAUUUUCUCGUAGCAGUUGUGCUGCCCAUAUUCUGUUUGUGUCAUUUUUUCUAUUUUCUAUCAGGAAUUAGCUCAAACAUAACAAGUAUCUUGAAUUAUAGUCAAUUCAAUAUAUGCAAAUGAAUUAAUGCAUGCUUUUUUUUAUACUGGCGUUUCUGUGCCUCUCUGAAAAUAGAAGCUUCAUUUUUGGUACGUUUUGUAAAAGCAUGACAAGUUCAGUGGUUUCACACAAACUCUUACCUCUUUCCUUAAGGGAUCUACUAAGGCAAUAAUAGAAGGAAAUUUAUUAACCAGUUCCACGUACGUGUCGACCAUUUCAUCAGGGCUUCUGAAUGUUCCAAUUGUGCCACUGCUGAUGGAGCACAAGAAGUUACGGAAACAGUGUCGUCAUCUUCUUCCUCCUGUUCAAUUUCUUUUUUUUCUUCUUCCUUUUUUGAAAAGUAUUCACUGAGAAAAGGAACAAAGAUUGGUGGCUCAAAACACUGUCAUGCAUGUCAAAGGAGGCACGCUAUGUUGGCUGAAGAACAUGCUGGAGAUGGAUUAAGAGCGUCUGUUUGAGAUUCUGCCCUGAUUGUGUGAAGCUGGACAAGUCAGUAAAUUCCUGUUUUUGACAGUUAUCUGCAACACUGAAUAAACAAAAAGAACCACAAGCAAGACUAACAGUCCUCAGCACGUGAUUUUCAGGCUGCACUGGUUUGAAAGGAUCAAGAAUGAAAAGAGCCAAAGUUUAACAGCAGGUGUUUGAACUAUCACCCACAUCAGCAUAUUGGCUCAAAGAAAAGAAGUUCCUUCACCAACUCUUUGUGGAUACUGUACAACUGUUUUGUUUUUUUUUUUUAAUGUCACUAUUUACUGAACUGGUGAGUUAUGGGGAUUCAAUCCAUUCACUAAAGCUGCAAAAUAAAAUGCUCACUAGGAUAUGAGUAGAAUAGUACAUUUCCCUGACAGUGUCUUAUUAAAUAAAUCAGGAAGGAGCAGCUCAC